CGCGUAGGCGGCCUGGUAAGUCUGGAAUGAAAGUCCUGCUUUUAAGGUGGGAAUUGCUUUGGAUACUGCUGGGCUUGAGUGCAGGAGAGGUAAGUGGAAUUCCCGGUGUAGCGGUGAAAUGCGUAGAGAUCGGGAGGAACACCAGUGGCGAAGGCGACUUACUGGACUGUAACUGACGCUGAGGCGCGAAAGUGUGGGGAGCAAACA
Molecule: ribosomal RNA, 207 nt
Filed under: uncultured bacterium
Lineage: Bacteria
Description: partial 16S ribosomal RNA
Rfam family: Bacterial small subunit ribosomal RNA
Source: RNAcentral